GGUGGUCAGAUGGGAGCAGGGACAAGAGUCUAUUUUGGAGAACCAUUCGCAUUUGGCAGAGUCAAUAGAAGUGACUGAAAGCAACACCACUUCGCACAAUCGCUAACAUUGAUGGGGAACAUGGGACGGAGCUGUCCUACGAGGUGUGACCGAGGGAGUAAGAGAUGGAUACUGAGCAAUUGUCUGGUCUGCUCCUGCAUCAGGGUCUGAAAACAAGCAUUGGCUGCCUUUUCCAGAAAAGAAGGCAGCACACGCGGACAGCAGGAACCUUCACGCCUCAGACAUGUCAGUAGGAAUGGUCAGUCCAGAGGUUCUAUUUUAGCGGGCCACUCACAUGAGCGCUGGAAUCCAUAUAUCUACCCUGUUUCUGCCCCUCUCCUCUCAGGAAAGACGGCUGUGCGUGUUUGUUGCCAAAGGUUGAUAUCUCUUAAGAGACCUGUCAAAGUCCAGUCAUGUCUGAAGAGUAAGUAUUCAUCCUUCAUCUGAACUAAAGUGUGCAUCAGAGUUAUCACCAUGAAUGUUUUACUCUUUCUUUUCAUUCA
This is a long non-coding RNA of Synchiropus splendidus (mandarinfish), 542 nucleotides long. RefSeq lists it as uncharacterized. NCBI's taxonomy places the organism in Eukaryota, Metazoa, Chordata, Actinopteri, Syngnathiformes, Callionymidae. The record is from RefSeq and is a predicted model, not a curated record. The transcript has 4 exons.